This 301-nucleotide ribosomal RNA is filed under the name uncultured bacterium. RNAcentral describes it as "partial 16S ribosomal RNA". It matches the Rfam family "Bacterial small subunit ribosomal RNA", at positions 509 to 807 of the family's 1533-position model. The record is from RNAcentral.
CAGCCGCCGCGGUAAUACGAAGGGGGCUAGCGUUGUUCGGAAUUACUGGGCGUAAAGCGCACGUAGGCGGAUAUUUAAGUCAGGGGUGAAAUCCCGCAGCUCAACUGCGGAACUGCCUUUGAUACUGGGUAUCUUGAGUAUGGAAGAGGUUAGUGGAAUUGCGAGUGUAGAGGUGAAAUCCGUAGAUAUUCGCAGGAACACCAGUGGCGAAGGCGGCUAACUGGUCCAUAACUGACGCUGAGGUGCGAAAGCGUGGGGAGCAAACAGGAUUAGAUACCCCGGUAGUCCCUGUCUCUUAUAC